RNAcentral lists this long non-coding RNA (512 nucleotides) under Homo sapiens (human). Its description in RNAcentral is "HSALNT0318178". Lineage: Eukaryota; Metazoa; Chordata; Mammalia; Primates; Hominidae. The record is from RNAcentral.
UUUUAGUCAUGAUUUUUUGACUCGUGGGGCUGUAUAGAGAGACUGGAAUAGUAAUCUCUGCAUGCCACUGUUCUAAUAAGUCUCGACCCCAUAAAUUAAUUAGAAUAGAAGUAAUCAUAGGCUGAACUGUAGUCUCUUGAUUAUCAGGUCCUAGACAAUGUAAAAUCCUGGCACUUUGAUACACUUCUGAGGCAGUGCCCACACCAACAAAUCCUGUAACAGGCUUUUGUUUAGGCUGAUUUUUUUGCCAUUGAUUUAAGGCAAUGAUGGAAACAUCAGCCCCAGUAUCCACUAAUCCUUCAAACUGUUUUCCCUGAAUAGUAACUGUACACACAGGUCUAUUCUCUGAGAGCUGACUAGCCCAAUAAACAGCUACGCAGAAUAGGUACGCCCAAGAACUAGUAAAUACUUGUUACCUCUACACUUUGGCAUCUCAGUGAAGUCCACCUGGAGAUCUUCAAAGGGGGCUGCUCCAUAAGCUUGUAUGCCGGGUGGAACGGCUGGACCCUGCC